AUACUAAGGCGAUCGAGAUAACCAUGGUGAAGGAACUCGGCAAAAUACCCCCGUAACUUCGGAAUAAGGGGGACCUGAGACGUAUUAGAAUUUACUUCGAAAGCGUCGAGGGUCGCGGAGACCAGACCCAAGCGACUGUUUACUAAAAACACAGGUCCGUGCUAAGUCGUAAGACGAUGUAUACGGACUGGCUCCUCCCCGGUGCUGGAAGGUUAAGGGGAAGGGUUAGCUUCGGCGAAGCCUUGAACUUAAGCCCCAGUAAACGGCGGUGGUAACUAUAACCAUCCUAAGGUAGCGAAAUUCCUUGUCGGGUAAGUUCCGACCUGCACGAAUGGAGUAACGACUUGGGCGCUGUCUCCACCAUGGACUCGGCGAAAUUGCACUACGAGUAAAGAUGCUCGUUACGCGCAGCAGGACGGAAAGACCCCGGGACCUUCACUAUAGUUUGGUAUUGGUGAUCGGAGUGACUUGUGUAGGAUAGGUGGGAGACUUUGAAGCUUGGACGCCAGUUCAGGUGGAGUCAUCGUUGAAAUACCACUCUGGUCACUUUGGUUAUCUAACCUAGGUCCAUUAUCUGGAUCAGGGACAGUGCCUGAUGGGUAGUUUGACUGGGGCGGUCGCCUCCUAAAAGGUAACGGAGGCGCCCAAAGGUUCCCUCAGCCUGGUUGGCAAUCAGGUUUCGAGUGUAAGUGCACAAGGGAGCUUGACUGCGAGAGAGACAUCUCAAGCAGGGACGAAAGUCGGGACUAGUGAUCUUCUGGUGGCACAUGGAAGCGCCAGGACUCAACGGAUAAAAGGUACCCCGGGGAUAACAGGCUGAUCUUGCCCAAGCGUCCAUAGCGACGGCAUGGUUUGGCACCUCGAUGUCGGCUCGUCGCAUCCUGGGGCUGGAGUCGGUCCCAAGGGUUGGGCUGUUCGCCCUUUAAAGCGGCACGCGAGCUGGGUUUAGAACGUCGUGAGACAGUUCGGUCACUAUCCGCUGCGCGCGUAGGAGUCUUGAGAAGAGCUGUCCUUAGUACGAGAGGACCGGGACGGACUAACCUCUGGUGUGCCAGUUGUUCUACCAAGAGCACGGCUGGUUGGCUACGUUGGGAAGUGAUAACCGCUGAAAGCAUCUAAGCGGGAAGCACGCUUCAAGAUGAGGGCUCCCACAGAAUAAUCUGGUAAGGCCCCCUAUAGACCAUGGGGUGAUAGGUCGGAUGUGGAAGUGCAGCAAUGCACGGAGCUGACCGAUACUAAUAGGCC
RNAcentral lists this ribosomal RNA (1245 nucleotides) under metagenome. Its description in RNAcentral is "bacterial LSU rRNA". It matches the Rfam family "Bacterial large subunit ribosomal RNA", at positions 1678 to 2910 of the family's 2925-position model. The record is from RNAcentral.